Molecule: non-coding RNA, 135 nt
Filed under: Paractinoplanes brasiliensis
Lineage: Bacteria; Bacillati; Actinomycetota; Actinomycetes; Micromonosporales; Micromonosporaceae
Source: RNAcentral
UUGCGGGUGGAAGUCCCGUCCCGGUAGGUACCGGAGCGCCGGGUAGCAGGUCCCGGUUCGUCGGAGAGAUCCGGCGGGCUGAGCGGGAUGUCGAGAGCCUUGUUGGAGGGAGCAAUCGCGCGGGCCGCAGCGUUA